Molecule: ribosomal RNA, 163 nt
Filed under: Dalechampia olympiana
Lineage: Eukaryota; Viridiplantae; Streptophyta; Magnoliopsida; Malpighiales; Euphorbiaceae
Also listed under: 1 other name
Description: 5.8S ribosomal RNA
Rfam family: 5.8S ribosomal RNA
About the family: 5.8S ribosomal RNA (5.8S rRNA) is a component of the large subunit of the eukaryotic ribosome. It is transcribed by RNA polymerase I as part of the 45S precursor that also contains 18S and 28S rRNA.
Source: RNAcentral
UAAUGACUCUCGGCAACGGAUAUCUCGGCUCUCGCAUCGAUGAAGAACGCAGCAAAAUGCGAUACUUGGUGUGAAUUGCAGAAUCCCGUGAAUCAUCGAGUUUUUGAACGCAAGUUGCGCCCGAAGCCUUCCGGCCGAGGGCACGUCUGCCUGGGCGUCACGC